This is a long non-coding RNA of Cebus imitator (Panamanian white-faced capuchin), 101 nucleotides long. RefSeq lists it as uncharacterized. NCBI's taxonomy places the organism in Eukaryota, Metazoa, Chordata, Mammalia, Primates, Cebidae. The transcript is spliced from 3 exons. The record is from RefSeq and is a predicted model, not a curated record.
GCCCUCCAGGGGCUCAGCCUUCAGAGGACUCAGCCUCGAGCCUGGCAUGUUCUGUGUGAUCUAUGUGCAUCCAUCCUGCCUCCCUGACUUCAAGAGAAGAC